GACGUAGGUGGCGAACGUUAUCCGGAAUCAUUGGGCGUAAAGGGUGCGUAGAUGGCAUAAUAAGUUAUUGGUGGGAAAUCGAGGCUCAACCUCGUGGAAGCUGGUAAUACUGUUGUGCUUGAGUGCAGGAGAGGUUAACGGAACUCCAUGUGGAGCGGUAAAAUGCGUAGAUAUAUGGAUGAACAUCAAUAACGACGAAGGCAGUUAACUAUUCUGUUACUGACAUUGAGGCACGAAAGCGUGGGGAGCAAAACGG
Molecule: ribosomal RNA, 256 nt
Filed under: uncultured bacterium
Lineage: Bacteria
Description: partial 16S ribosomal RNA
Rfam family: Bacterial small subunit ribosomal RNA
Source: RNAcentral